AGUCGAGCGGAGUUACUUUGAAAGCUUGCUUUCAAAGUAACUUAGCGGCGGACGGGUGAGUAACACGUAGGCAACCUGCCCCUUAGACUGGGAUAACUACCGGAAACGGUAGCUAAUACCGGAUAAUUUCUUUUUUCUCCUGAAGGAAGAAUGAAAGACGGAGCAAUCUGUCACUGAGGGAUGGGCCUGCGGCGCAUUAGCUAGUUGGUGGGGUAACGGCCCACCAAGGCGACGAUGCGUAGCCGACCUGAGAGGGUGAACGGCCACACUGGGACUGAGACACGGCCCAGACUCCUACGGGAGGCAGCAGU
RNAcentral lists this ribosomal RNA (311 nucleotides) under Paenibacillus sp. P22V. RNAcentral's name for it is "bacterial SSU rRNA". It matches the Rfam family "Bacterial small subunit ribosomal RNA", at positions 60 to 355 of the family's 1533-position model. The record is from RNAcentral. Lineage: Bacteria; Bacillati; Bacillota; Bacilli; Caryophanales; Paenibacillaceae.